Molecule: ribosomal RNA, 372 nt
Filed under: uncultured bacterium
Lineage: Bacteria
Description: bacterial SSU rRNA
Rfam family: Bacterial small subunit ribosomal RNA
Source: RNAcentral
GGGCCCGCACAAGCGGUGGAGCAUGUGGUUUAAUUCGAUGAUACGCGAGGAACCUUACCAGGGCUUAAAUGUAAGUUGCAUUAGCUAGAGAUAGAUCCUUCUUCGGACUCAUUACAAGGUGCUGCAUGGUUGUCGUCAGCUCGUGCCGUGAGGUGUCAGGUUAAGUCCUAUAACGAGCGCAACCCCCCAUCGUUAGUUGCCAACGAGUAAUGUCGGGAACUCUAACGAAACUGCCGGUGCAAACCGUGAGGAAGGUGGGGAUGACGUCAAAUCAUCACGGCCCUUACGUCCUGGGCUACACACGUGCUACAAUGGUCGGUACAGAGAGCAGCCACUACGCGAGUAGGAGCAAAUCCCCAUAAACCGUGGCUC